UACGGAGGGUGCAAGCGUUAUCCGGAAUCAUUGGGUUUAAAGGGUCCGCAGGCGGAAAGAUAAGUCAGUGGUGAAAUCUCACAGCUCAACUGUGAAACUGCCAUUGAUACUGUCUUUCUUGAAUUCGAUCGAAGUGGGCGGAAUGUGACAUGUAGCGGUGAAAUGCUUAGAUAUGUCACAGAACACCGAUAGCGAAGGCAGCUCACUAGGUCUGGAUUGACGCUCAGGGACGAAAGCGUGGGGAGCAAACAGGAUUAGAUACCCUGGUAGUCCACGCCGUAAACUAUCAAUACUCGUUCUUGGGGCCGUAAGGCUUCGGGGACUAAGCGAAAGUGAUAAGUAUUGCACCUGGGGAGUACGAUCGCAAGGUUGAA
This 374-nucleotide ribosomal RNA is filed under the name uncultured bacterium. Its description in RNAcentral is "bacterial SSU rRNA". It matches the Rfam family "Bacterial small subunit ribosomal RNA", at positions 524 to 898 of the family's 1533-position model. The record is from RNAcentral.